GGACGCUCCAACAAAAACAGCUAUUCAGACACCUCGGUAGCUUUCUAGCAUAGCUACAACAUUCACGCUCUUCACGCUGUUUUUGGUGUAUUUUAGUCUCUGUGAAUUAAACACACAUCUGUCGUAUGUACUUGUUGGCCCAUUUAAUUAUAUAUUUACGUUGUUUGUCAGCUAGCUGGUUUGCUAGGUUAGCUUAGAACUAGGCUAGUCGCUAGCCCCGGCCAUGAGGUCACUAAGCUACUCUCCUCCUGAUAAAGAAGAGGAGGUCUGCUGGACGGAGAAAGAAGCUCCGGUCAAAGAGGAGGAGGAAGAGGAGGCUGUUACAAUACAAAAACAAGUAGAAGGUGAGGCUGAGAAAGACGUUUCAGUGAAAUAAGAGGAAGACGCGUUCAGAGUGAAGGAGGAGGAGGAAGAGAAAGAGGAAGAUGCCGUUUUGGGAGUGAAAGAGGAGGGGGAGAUGACUGUCACAUUGAAAGAAGAAGAGGAUGUUGGAGAUCUGUUUAACACCACCUUUCUCUCCUCUGAAGACCCAGUGAGGGUGGAGCUCGGUCAGAGAGCUGUUGAGGGACUGGUUAGGAAGAACACUUCUACAGCCAGAGAGGGGCAGUCAAGAAAUGGAACAGCAAGGCCACAGAACGACAUAAGCAGAGCUGUGGGAGACCACCUCAAGCCCCUGGUAGAGCCGGGGGUGGUGUUUACCAUUCCUUCAGCAGGCUGGAAAAGUGUAAUUGAUUAUUUUUUUCAUACUAAGAUGGACCAAGAGUCUGUUGAUUGGUCGGUCAUUGGGUUAAUUUGUUUCGCAAUAUGUUAAAAUCAAAUCAAGCUUUAUUUACACAGCACAUUUCAGACAUGGAUCGAACGCAAUGGCUUCAUUAGAAAAAACUAAUAACAACUGAAAGACUCUUGAGCAUUCUAAGGAAAUGUCAUUGAUUAAAAUAUGACCAAUUGGAUUUAAUAUCCAACCUAAAAUAUAAGCUUGUUUUUAAAGGAGUUCUAAAAGACUCUGGGGGUGUCCACUGACGAGUAACAAUAACUGGGACCUAAAAGACACCCACCAUGAGACCCACCCAAUCUGCCCAAGAAGAGGCAAAAAAAAAAAACACACAACAAACUUUAAGACAGGACGCAAACCAAAAAGGUGGUUAAAAUAAUUUAUUACAAUCAAUACCAUUCAUACUAUUACAAAAUCAUAAUUCUCAUUCAUUCUUAAUUAAUUCUAUUUACAAAAACAUCAAACAAAAACAAACCUCAGGGGAGCAUCGUCCCUCCCCGUCAUACCUAACCAAUACCUAACCCUUUCCCCAUCUCCCCUUCCCUAAUCUAUCCCCUUACCAACACUCCCAGCCCUAAACCCCCUUUCCACCUCUCCUGUGCUGCAUGCUUCCCCCACUUCCUCUCCUCCCUCUUCAUCCUCCCCCUCAAAUCACCUUCCACCCUUCUCACUAUCCCUUCCACCCCCCAAUCUCUCCCUGUCUUGACUAAAUUCUGCCUGGCUUCCCACAGUCCCUUUUUAAAGAGACUCAUGAGAAGCCAGAGCAGAAACCUGUCCCUAUCCGUUCCCUUUGCUCUCCCUACGCCUCUCUCUAGCCUAUGUCAAAACAAAAUCACUCCUAACCACACCUAGCAUCACCCGUGCCCUAGCCCAGACUAGUCCGGCAAAGGCACAGUCCCAGAAGGCAUGGCGCACAGUCUCCUCCCUGCCACAAGAGAAUCUUGGACAGGUGGGGGAUUGCACCAAACUAUACCGGUACAAGAUGGAAAGUACCGGCAAACGCUUAUGAAGGCUCAACCAAUUCAGGUCCUUGAGCCCGUUGUCCAGGCCCCGCGCCUGCACUCCCUCCCAGACCACUGACGAGAUGCCCGCUACGGGCGCAGGACUCUCUGCCUGCCUGACCUCCUCGUACAGGUGCCUGUGGUCUAAACCUACUCGGGCAACUUCAACCUCGGGGUGCGCACGCAGCCACUUGGCCGCAUGACCAAAGUGCCACGGCAGCUGUUCCGCC
Long non-coding RNA from Oncorhynchus gorbuscha (pink salmon), 2003 nucleotides. RefSeq lists it as uncharacterized. The transcript is spliced from 3 exons. The record is from RefSeq and is a predicted model, not a curated record. Lineage: Eukaryota; Metazoa; Chordata; Actinopteri; Salmoniformes; Salmonidae.